CGCCGCGCCAGAGGCUCCUUUUCCCAGGGCAGCGGGCGCCGCGGGGCUGCCCCGCUCCCUCCCGCUCCGCCGGUGCCUCCGCCUCGGCUCGAGGCUUCCCGGGACGCCGGGGCCGCCUCCGCGCCCGGGGUGGACAGGAGGCCUCUGGUUUUGUGGCCAGUGUCACUUCUGUCGUGGCCUGGAUCAACUCAGAUGUCAGCACUGGUGUGUCGGAGGUGGAAGGUGGCUGAUGGCAGGUAAUCACAUCCGAGCACGCGCUGGACCCUUCCUUCUGCAAAGAACAACUGCCCCCUGCCCCAGACAGGCCUGGUAGCAUGCUCAGGUGUGGUGGGACUAGCACCUUGGCCAGAUGCUGCUCUUCUGUGGACCCCAGCACUAGAGACCAGAAGGAAACUGGCGGGGAAAAAACACAAGGCUGAGAGAUGGAGACUAACUGCUGCAUUUUUGGGGCUCAAAACCAGAGGGUGAGCGCUGCCUUUCUGAAGCUCAGAAAAAGACUGAGUCAUGUGUUUUCAGUGCUUGAAAAUGCAGGCUAAGUCCUGUGUUUCUGCGACUCAAAAAACUGGAUGUCAACUCCCACCACUUCACCGUGGUCGCCCUUUCUUCUGCCAUGAAAGUACCAGACAGAUGGAAAGAAUCCAUAGUGGUCUGCAAGUACAAGGCUUUCCCAAGAAGCGUUAGCAGCCUUGGGACUAGUGACAGUGAGUCCUGAUGUGUUUUUGGGCCUGGGGACGUUUGUUGCCCUGGGAAGCCAGUCCCAGCACGGGAACAGAGGGGGAACAUCGCAGAGCAGAGCCUGAGCGAGAGACGUGGCACCAUCUUCUGGCACGCUCCCCCCCGCACCCCCCCUGUGGGGCAGCUGCCAGCCUGUGGGACCAGGGCUGGGGGGGCUGCAAACGUUUGGGGGGCCACCCCCCUUUAUUUUUCUAGCAGAGCCCCCCCCUUUUUGGGAGGGGUUGUGUACAUAUGUAAAUGGCAUUAUUAAAGUAACGAGCUGCUG
Long non-coding RNA from Gymnogyps californianus (California condor), 1000 nucleotides. RefSeq lists it as uncharacterized. The transcript has 6 exons. The record is from RefSeq and is a predicted model, not a curated record. NCBI's taxonomy places the organism in Eukaryota, Metazoa, Chordata, Aves, Accipitriformes, Cathartidae.